Molecule: ribosomal RNA, 497 nt
Filed under: uncultured bacterium
Lineage: Bacteria
Description: partial 16S ribosomal RNA
Rfam family: Bacterial small subunit ribosomal RNA
Source: RNAcentral
GACGAACGCUGGCGGCGUGCCUAAUACAUGCAAGUUGAGCGCUGAAGGUUGGUACUUGUACCAACUGGAUGAGCAGCGAACGGGUGAGUAACGCGUGGGGAAUCUGCCUUUGAGCGGGGGACAACAUUUGGAAACGAAUGCUAAUACCGCAUAAAAACUUUAAACACAAGUUUUAAGUUUGAAAGAUGCAAUUGCAUCACUCAAAGAUGAUCCCGCGUUGUAUUAGCUAGUUGGUGAGGUAAAGGCUCACCAAGGCGAUGAUACAUAGCCGACCUGAGAGGGUGAUCGGCCACAUUGAGACUGAGACACGGCCCAAACUCCUACGGGAGGCAGCAGUAGGGAAUCUUCGGCAAUGGACGAAAGUCUGACCGAGCAACGCCGCGUGAGUGAAGAAGGUUUUCGGAUCGUAAAACUCUGUUGGUAGAGAAGAACGUUGGUGGGAGUGGAAAGCUCAUCAAGUGACGGUAACUACCCAGAAAGGGACGGCUAACUACGUG